RNAcentral lists this long non-coding RNA (226 nucleotides) under Vigna radiata. RNAcentral describes it as "long non-coding RNA (VRAD_LNC015404)". Lineage: Eukaryota; Viridiplantae; Streptophyta; Magnoliopsida; Fabales; Fabaceae. The record is from RNAcentral.
CCCGAAUGAGGUUACAAUGGAAAGAAGUAGAUGUAAAUGGAAAGAAGAAAGAAGGCCUAGAUCAGCUCUAAAGUUCUCCCAAGAUCAAGCACACUCAAAGAGAAUUAAUACAAAAUCAGAACUAUGGCUAUACAGGCAUGCAAUCACACUAGAAAGAAAAAAUUUUGCCUAAAACUCUCCAGGGUUAAAAAUUUGUCAAAAUUGAACUUGUUACUCUCUAUCAUGC